GUUGAGGAGUAGCUGGAUGGUAAUAUGGUAACGAGGGGGUUGAGGAGUAGCUGGAUAUUAAUAUGGUAACGAGGGGUUGAGGAGGAUCUGGAUGGUAAUAUGGUAACGAGGGGGUUGAGGCGUAGCUGGAUGGUAAUAUGGUAACGAGGGGGUUGAGGAGUAGCUGGAUGGUAAUAUGGUAACGAGGGGGUUGAGGAGUAGCUGGAUGGUAAUAUGGUAUUAAAAGGGUUGAGGAGUAGCUAGAUGGUAAUAUGGUAACGAGGGGGUUGAGGAGUAACUGGAUGGUAAUAUGGUAAUGGGGGGGUUGAGGAGUAGCUGGAUGGUAAAAAGGUAAUGAGGGGUUUGAGGCGUAGCUGGAUGUUAUUACAGUAAUGAGGGGUUUGAGGGGUAGCUGGAUGGUAAUAUGGUAACGAGGGGGUUGAGGAGUAGCUGGAUAGUAAUAUGGUAACGAGGGGGUUGAGGUGUAGCUGGAUGGUAAUAUGGUAAUAAAAGUGUUGAGGAGUAGCUGGAUGGUAAUAUGGUAACGAGGGGGUUGAGGAGUAGCUGGAUGGUAAUAUGGUAAUGGGGG
Molecule: long non-coding RNA, 568 nt
Organism: Oncorhynchus tshawytscha (Chinook salmon)
Lineage: Eukaryota; Metazoa; Chordata; Actinopteri; Salmoniformes; Salmonidae
Source: Ensembl